GACGUAGGGUCCAAGCGUUGUCCGGAUUUACUGGGCGUAAAGAGCGCGCAGGCGGUCGUUCAAGUCGCGUGUGAAAGCCCCCGGCUCAACUGGGGAGGGUCACGCGAUACUGAUCGACUCGAAGGCAGGAGAGGGUAGUGGAAUUCCCGGUGUAGUGGUGAAAUGCGUAGAUAUCGGGAGGAACACCAGUGGCGAAGGCGACUACCUGGCCUGUUCUUGACGCUGAGGCGCGAAAGCUAGGGGAGCAAACGGG
Molecule: ribosomal RNA, 253 nt
Filed under: uncultured bacterium
Lineage: Bacteria
Description: partial 16S ribosomal RNA
Rfam family: Bacterial small subunit ribosomal RNA
Source: RNAcentral